Molecule: transfer RNA, 17 nt
Filed under: Dermatonotus muelleri (Mueller's termite frog)
Lineage: Eukaryota; Metazoa; Chordata; Amphibia; Anura; Microhylidae
Description: partial tRNA-Ala
Source: RNAcentral
GUGUCCUGCAAGUCUUA